UACCAUUCAUAAUAAUAUCAUAAAAAUCAUCUUUUAUUAAGAAUUGAAACCAUCUUUUGUCAAAAGGCCUACAAAAAUAACAUUCAUCAUAAAGGAGGGACAAUAAUGACAAUCAUUCAAUAUGAUAACUUUUAAAUAAAAAAUAAGCUGAACAAUUUCUAAAGCUAGAACUGAAACAAAACUUCUAUCUCCAACAUUCAAAAAUCUCUCAC
This 212-nucleotide long non-coding RNA is filed under the name Elaeis guineensis (African oil palm). RNAcentral's name for it is "long non-coding RNA (EGUI_LNC018444)". Lineage: Eukaryota; Viridiplantae; Streptophyta; Magnoliopsida; Arecales; Arecaceae. The record is from RNAcentral.